CCUACGGGAGGCAGCAGUCGAGAAUCAUUCACAAUGGGGGAAACCCUGAUGGUGCGACGCCGCGUGGGGGAAUGAAGGUCUUCGGAUUGUAAACCCCUGUCAUGUGGGAGCAAAUUAAAAAGAUAGUACCACAAGAGGAAGAGACGGCUAACUCUGUGCCAGCAGCCGCGGUAAUACAGAGGUCUCAAGCGUUGUUCGGAAUCACUGGGCGUAAAGGGUGCGUAGGCUGUUUCGUAAGUCGUGUGUGAAAGGCGCGGGCUCAACCCGCGGACGGCACAUGAUACUGCGAGACUAGAGUAAUGGAGGGGGAACCGGAAUUCGCGGUGUAGCAGUGAAAUGCGUAGAUAUCGAGAGGAACACUCGUGGCGAAGGCAGGUUCCUGGACAGUAACUGACGCUGAGGCACGAAGGCCAGGGGAGCGAAAGGGAUUAGAUACCCGAGUAGUC
Molecule: ribosomal RNA, 446 nt
Filed under: uncultured bacterium
Lineage: Bacteria
Description: partial 16S ribosomal RNA
Rfam family: Bacterial small subunit ribosomal RNA
Source: RNAcentral